This 719-nucleotide unclassified non-coding RNA is filed under the name Zea mays. RNAcentral describes it as "misc RNA Zm00001eb217600". Lineage: Eukaryota; Viridiplantae; Streptophyta; Magnoliopsida; Poales; Poaceae. The record is from RNAcentral.
CUCGCUCGAGGGUUUUUGGAGGGGGGGGAGGGGGGAAGGCAAGUGCAAAAGAUGCAUCCGUCUCCAAAAAAAAUUCUAGUCUAUCCAGUAAUUCUAUCGGUUUCAGGACCAUCACGAAAAGUUGACGCAGACGCUGCCAUUCUUGGCGCACCCGCACGCCGGGCACGCCCUCGCCGCGGCCGCGCACGGCGCGCACGCGCAGAGGUGGCGGCACGGCAGCAGCAGCACGUCGGCCGCGUUGUCGCCGCACACGGCGCACGCCCCCCUGACGUGGCCCGACGACGACGUCCCGGUCCCGGCCUCCUCUUCGUUCUCCGCCGCGCCUGCUCCGGUGAUGAAGACGUCGUUCUCCCCGCAGCAGCACGAGUCGGCGUCGUCGGCGCGGCGGCGCGUCUGCUGGGCGUCGAGCGCCUGCUGCAGCUCGCCGCGGAGCGCGGUGACCGCGGCGUCGUUGGACUGCGCCAAGUCACGCCACAUGUGCGCCUCGACGUACAUGCUCUUCACCCGCUCCUCGAGCGCCCAGUUGACGCGCCGCAUCCGCCGGAUCUCCUCCUCCUUUGCGCGCAGCCGCGGGGCCGCGGCGGCCUCCACGGUGGCCACGACCUGCCGGGCGUGCCGCCGCCGCUGCUCGGUGAGCCCCGCCCACAUCUUGGCGGUCUGCAAUUGUUCAAAUCCGCCGCAAAAUUAACACGCCACCUCUCCAUCAGUCACAGUCAGUG